AGCGUAGGCGGAGAAAUAAGUUAGGAGUUUAAUGUACGGGCUUAACCCGUAAUCUGCUCCUAAUACUGUUUUUCUUGAGUAUGGGAGAGGGAGAUGGAAUUCCAGGUGUAGCGGUGGAAUGCGUAGAUAUCUGGAAGAACACCAGCUGCGAAGGCGGUCUCCUGGCCCAAUACUGACGCUGAGGCUCGAAAGCUAGGGGAGCAAAACAGGAUUAGAUACCCUGGUAGUCCUAGCUGUAAACGAUGGACACUAGAUGCCGGAGGAGUCAAUCCUUUCGGUGUCGUAGCUAACGCGUUAAGUGUCCCGCCUGGGGAGUACGCUCGCAAGGGUGAA
This 333-nucleotide ribosomal RNA is filed under the name uncultured bacterium. RNAcentral's name for it is "bacterial SSU rRNA". It matches the Rfam family "Bacterial small subunit ribosomal RNA", at positions 568 to 898 of the family's 1533-position model. The record is from RNAcentral.